AUUGAACGCUGGCGGCAGGCUUAACACAUGCAAGUCGAGCGGGGAGAGGUAGCUUGCUACCUGACCUAGCGGCGGACGGGUGAGUAAUGCUUAGGAAUCUGCCUAUUAGUGGGGGACAACAUUCCGAAAGGAAUGCUAAUACCGCAUACGCCCUACGGGGGAAAGCAGGGGAUCUUCGGACCUUGCGCUAAUAGAUGAGCCUAAGUCAGAUUAGCUAGUUGGUGGGGUAAAGGCCUACCAAGGCGACGAUCUGUAGCGGGUCUGAGAGGAUGAUCCGCCACACUGGGACUGAGACACGGCCCAGACUCCUACGGGAGGCAGCAGUGGGGAAUAUUGGACAAUGGGCGAAAGCCUGAUCCAGCCAUGCCGCGUGUGUGAAGAAGGCCUUUUGGUUGUAAAGCACUUUAAGCGAGGAGGAGGCUACUUAGAUUAAUACUCUAGGAUAGUGGACGUUACUCGCAGAAUAAGCACCGGCUAACUCUGUGCCAGCAGCCGCGGUAAUACAGAGGGUGCGAGCGUUAAUCGGAUUUACUGGGCGUAAAGCGUGCGUAGGCGGCCUUUUAAGUCGGAUGUGAAAUCCCUGAGCUUAACUUAGGAAUUGCAUUCGAUACUGGGAAGCUAGAGUAUGGGAGAGGAUGGUAGAAUUCCAGGUGUAGCGGUGAAAUGCGUAGAGAUCUGGAGGAAUACCGAUGGCGAAGGCAGCCAUCUGGCCUAAUACUGACGCUGAGGUACGAAAGCAUGGGGAGCAAACAGGAUUAGAUACCCUGGUAGUCCAUGCCGUAAACGAUGUCUACUAGCCGUUGGGGCCUUUGAGGCUUUAGUGGCGCAGCUAACGCGAUAAGUAGACCGCCUGGGGAGUACGGUCGCAAGACUAAAACUCAAAUGAAUUGACGGGGGCCCGCACAAGCGGUGGAGCAUGUGGUUUAAUUCGAUGCAACGCGAAGAACCUUACCUGGUCUUGACAUAGUAAGAACUUUCCAGAGAUGGAUUGGUGCCUUCGGGAACUUACAUACAGGUGCUGCAUGGCUGUCGUCAGCUCGUGUCGUGAGAUGUUGGGUUAAGUCCCGCAACGAGCGCAACCCUUUUCCUUAUUUGCCAGCGGGUUAAGCCGGGAACUUUAAGGAUACUGCCAGUGACAAACUGGAGGAAGGCGGGGACGACGUCAAGUCAUCAUGGCCCUUACGACCAGGGCUACACACGUGCUACAAUGGUCGGUACAAAGGGUUGCUACCUAGCGAUAGGAUGCUAAUCUCAAAAAGCCGAUCGUAGUCCGGAUUGGAGUCUGCAACUCGACUCCAUGAAGUCGGAAUCGCUAGUAAUCGCGGAUCAGAAUGCCGCGGUGAAUACGUUCCCGGGCCU
Molecule: ribosomal RNA, 1359 nt
Filed under: uncultured bacterium
Lineage: Bacteria
Description: bacterial SSU rRNA
Rfam family: Bacterial small subunit ribosomal RNA
Source: RNAcentral